UACGUAGGUGGCAAGCGUUGUCCGGAAUUAUUGGGCGUAAAGCGCGCGCAGGUGGUUCCUUAAGUCUGAUGUGAAAUCCCCCGGCUUACCCGGGGACCUGCAUCCCAUACUGCCAAGCUUGAGUACGGGAGAGGAUGAGGGAAUUCCUGGUGUAGCGGUGAAAUGCGUAGAUAUCAGGAGGAACACCGGUGGCGAAAGCGCUCAUCUGGCCCGAUACUGACGCUGAUGCGCGAAAGCUAGGGGAGCAAACGGG
Molecule: ribosomal RNA, 253 nt
Filed under: uncultured bacterium
Lineage: Bacteria
Description: partial 16S ribosomal RNA
Rfam family: Bacterial small subunit ribosomal RNA
Source: RNAcentral